UUACUAAAAUAAAAGUAUGAUAAAUCCUUUACCCGAAUUAAGUUGAUUUACGCUACGUUAAGUACUUUGAUAAAAAUUGAGUAAUGUGGCAUAAUUCCCUUAAAAAUUUAGCGUAGAGACGAAACGUCUACACAACUUAGGAUAACUGGAUUUAGGUGAAAUAUAUAUAGUAUAUAAUUAAAAUACAAUACUUUAACUCUAAGGUUUAAGUAUAUCUAUAAUUAAUGCUUAUAACUCAUACGUUUAUCCCAUAACCAAUAAAUCUUAUAAUAACUAUUUUAGAUGUCAAAAUGAAAAAAAAAUUUCUAAAGCGCCUAACUAAAUUAUUUAAUUAACCCAAUAUUUGUAUAUAAAACAUUUAGAAAAAUCAAAGUAGCCUAAAACAUUAGACUAAACUAAACUAAGCAUGCAUAUAAUGUUAAUAUCAGUAUAUAAAAUAAAUUAAUAUAAGUAACUCGGCAAACACACUCCAUCAACUGUUUAUCAAAAACAUAGCUUCAAGGAAAAAAUUUGUAGUGAAUUCUGCCCAGUGAUAAUAAAAGAUUUUUAUUUAACGGCCGCAGUACUUUGACUGUGCUAAGGUAGCAUAAUAACUUGGCUUGUAAUUGAAGUCUGGAAUGAAUGGAAUAUAUGUAUGGAACGCUGUCUCACAAUUAACUAACUAAAACUUAAUUAUUAGGUGAAAAUACCUAAAAUAAAUAUCUAAGACGAGAAGACCCUUGGAAUUUUCAUAAAUAAUUACUACCUUAGAGCAUAAAAUAAUUCCUAAUAACUUUAGAGACGCAGAUAUUAAAUUCUUAACUAUGAAUUUGAUACCCGUGAUUUUUCAAAAGGCUAUUAACAAAGGGGUCAACCAAACCCUAAUUAUUAAAAACUCUUUGUAAUCAUAUUUUAGUUGGGGCAACAAAGAGUCAUAUAAAUACCUGACACUUAUUCUCAUAUGUGUAAGCAAUCA
RNAcentral lists this ribosomal RNA (955 nucleotides) under Gomphroa dohrni. RNAcentral's name for it is "Hypnophila dohrni partial 16S ribosomal RNA". The stretch from base 469 to 639 matches the Rfam family "Archaeal large subunit ribosomal RNA", at positions 1884 to 2089 of the family's 2987-position model. The record is from RNAcentral. Lineage: Eukaryota; Metazoa; Mollusca; Gastropoda; Stylommatophora; Azecidae.